AACGCGAAGAACCUUACCUGGGCUUGAACUACUGGUAGUAAGUCUCUGGAAACAGAGGCUGAUCCGCAAGGAAGCCAGCAGAGGUGCUGCAUGGUUGUCGUCAGCUCGUGUCGUGAGAUGUUGGGUUAAGUCCCGCAACGAGCGCAACCCCUAUCUCAUGUUGCUACUCCCGCAAGGGAGGCACUCUUGAGAAACUGCCUUCGAUAAGAAGGAGGAAGGUGGGGAUGACGUCAAAUCCUCAUGGCCCUUAUGUCCAGGGCUACACACGUGCUACAAUGGCCGGUACAACGGGAAGCAAUACCGCAAGGUGGAGCAAAACCCUGAAAGCCGGCCCCAGUUCAGAUUGUGGGCUGAAACUCGCCCACAUGAAGGUGGAAUCGCUAGUAAUCGCGAAUCAGCAGGUCGCGGUGAAUACGUUCCCGGGCCUUGUACACACCGAGUAUA
This 444-nucleotide ribosomal RNA is filed under the name uncultured bacterium. RNAcentral's name for it is "bacterial SSU rRNA". It matches the Rfam family "Bacterial small subunit ribosomal RNA", at positions 958 to 1398 of the family's 1533-position model. The record is from RNAcentral.